This 497-nucleotide ribosomal RNA is filed under the name uncultured bacterium. RNAcentral's name for it is "partial 16S ribosomal RNA". It matches the Rfam family "Bacterial small subunit ribosomal RNA", at positions 28 to 507 of the family's 1533-position model. The record is from RNAcentral.
GAUGAACGCUGGCGGCGUGCCUAAUACAUGCAAGUCGAGCGAACAGACGAGGAGCUUGCUCCUCUGACGUUAGCGGCGGACGGGUGAGUAACACGUGGAUAACCUACCUAUAAGACUGGGAUAACUUCGGGAAACCGGAGCUAAUACCGGAUAAUAUAUUGAACCGCAUGGUUCAAUAGUGAAAGACGGUUUUGCUGUCACUUAUAGAUGGAUCCGCGCCGCAUUAGCUAGUUGGUAAGGUAACGGCUUACCAAGGCGACGAUGCGUAGCCGACCUGAGAGGGUAAUCGGCCACACUGGAACUGAGACACGGUCCAGACUCCUACGGGAAGCAGCAGUAGGGAAUCUUCCGCAAUGGGCGAAAGCCUGACGGAGCAACGCCGCGUGAGUGAUGAAGGUCUUCGGAUCGUAAAACUCUGUUAUUAGGGAAGAACAAAUGUGUAAGUAACUAUGCACGUCUUGACGGUACCUAAUCAGAAAGCCACGGCUAACUACGUG